AACGAACGCUGGCGGCAUGCCUAACACAUGCAAGUCGAACGAGACCUUCGGGUCUAGUGGCGCACGGGUGCGUAACGCGUGGGAACCUGCCCUUAGGUUCGGAAUAACUCCCCGAAAGGGGUGCUAAUACCGGAUAAUGUCUUCGGACCAAAGAUUUAUCGCCUUUGGAUGGGCCCGCGUUGGAUUAGAUGGUUGGUAGGGGAAAAGCCUACCAAGGCGAGGAUAGAUAGCUGGUCAGAGAGGAAGGUCCGCCACACUGGGAGGGGGCAACGGCCGGGACUCUUGGGGGGGGGGGGAGGGGGGAAUAUUGAAAAGGGGGGGAAGGCCAGAACCCCCAAUGCCGGGAGAGUAAUGAGGCCCUGAGGGUUAUAAGUCUCUUUAACACGGUAGGAGAAUGACGUUACCGGAAGAAUAAGCUCCGGCUAACUCCGUG
Molecule: ribosomal RNA, 433 nt
Filed under: uncultured bacterium
Lineage: Bacteria
Description: partial 16S ribosomal RNA
Rfam family: Bacterial small subunit ribosomal RNA
Source: RNAcentral